GAGAGAUGGCUCAGCAGGUAAGAGCACUGGCUGCUCUUCUGUGGGACCUGGGUUUGAUUCCCAGUACUCUCG
This 72-nucleotide transfer RNA is filed under the name Neotoma lepida (desert woodrat). It matches the Rfam family "tRNA". Rfam says of the family: Transfer RNA (tRNA) molecules are approximately 80 nucleotides in length. Their secondary structure includes four short double-helical elements and three loops (D, anti-codon, and T loops). Lineage: Eukaryota; Metazoa; Chordata; Mammalia; Rodentia; Cricetidae. The record is from Rfam by way of RNAcentral.